This 92-nucleotide transfer RNA is filed under the name Chloroflexota bacterium. RNAcentral's name for it is "tRNA-Ser". It matches the Rfam family "tRNA". Rfam says of the family: Transfer RNA (tRNA) molecules are approximately 80 nucleotides in length. Their secondary structure includes four short double-helical elements and three loops (D, anti-codon, and T loops). The record is from RNAcentral. Lineage: Bacteria; Bacillati; Chloroflexota.
GGAGGGAUCGCAUAGUGGUCUAGUGCGGGCGCCUGCUAAGCGCUUAUCCUGAGAAAUUNGGAUCGUGGGUUCGAAUCCCACUCCCUCCGCCG